AUCUGAUGAUUUUGGAAAUUUUACAACGUCUAGAUAAGUCCAAUAUAAGAGCUAUUACCAAGUUUCAAGUCUCUACGUGUAUUUAUAAUUGAAUUACAGCAAAAAACUCCCAAAAAUUAAAAUUUCUUAAAUGCUCAAAAGUUUUGGCAAUGGUACCGUAAGCAAGUAAAUCUCAAAGGCAACAAAAAAGAUGUCUUGUGAAUUUUCGAUUAAAUCAUUUUUUCUGAUAGAAAAAGUCAUCCGUGUUUUUAUAAAAUAUUGAAAUCGUGAAAAUCAAAAAUGACCUCUCUAGAGUACCAUCUAGACAACUUG
Molecule: non-coding RNA, 312 nt
Organism: Cinara cedri
Lineage: Eukaryota; Metazoa; Arthropoda; Insecta; Hemiptera; Aphididae
Source: the annotation of a GenBank genome assembly